Molecule: long non-coding RNA, 3321 nt
Filed under: Marmota monax (woodchuck)
Lineage: Eukaryota; Metazoa; Chordata; Mammalia; Rodentia; Sciuridae
Source: RNAcentral
GAUAUACAGAUGCUCCUUAAUGUUGCUGCAAGACAGGGGAUCCAAGAAGCCCAAGAACUUCUGGAGAAUGUUAUUUUGACUCAAAGCAAGCUCUUGUCAACUAAAGGAACAAGGAGGUUCUACAAAUCAUAACUGUGUCCUACAUGCUCCUCCUAGAACAUGGCAUCUUUUGCUCUCACUUGUCUGUGGCCUUGCAAAGCUCCAUGGAACUUUCAAUAGAAGCUGCUUUUAGAGAUAGUUUUAUAUGUUGCUUAAUCACCAAUUUGCUGCUCAAAAUCCUUUAAAUAAGGUGUUGUUUUGAUGUUUUUCUGAGGUUGACCUCUCCUGGAUAGAGAAAUAUUUUAUUUGGAUUCCAUUACUGCUCACUUCAGCUAACUUUCAUUCAAGUCAGUGAGCAUUCGACAAAAUGGUAGAAGGAAAAGAAGGAAGAAACCUGUCUCACCAGAGAGUUGGCUUCUUAAAUGUGUUACUUGGCUCCGUCAGAUCCACUGAAGGAGCUAAGCUCAUCAUCAGCCUAAUCUAUGACAUGUGGUGCUCUGCUUAAAAUAAGGUUGUUUUCAUGUCUCUACAUUUCAAUUUUCUGCUCUAUUAGGUUUCUAUGAUAUUAUAUUCACUUUUUGUAUUACAAAAAGUUCUUUAUAGGAUUAAAAAUGAGUAUGAUUAUUGUCAUCAAAAAGAAAAAGAAUCAAAGAUAAGAGCUAACAUUUAUUGAACACUCGUCUUGAGGAAGAUAUUUUCCUACCUGCUUUGUGUUUUAACAUUCAGUAGUUAUAAAAAAAAAGUCUUAUGAACUGAGUAGUAGUAUGACUCUCAUUUUACAGACAUGGAAAAAUAAUUGAAGAGAAGUUAGGUAAUAUUCACAGAGUCUUAGAGAGUAAGUGGUAAAGUGGGAUUCUGAAUUUUGAUAGUCCGACUUUAGAGUCGACAUUCUUACCUAGUUCUACUGAUGUCACUCCCCCCAAGUUAUGAACUUAUCCUUCCGAACAACUAAUUUAGAGAGUAGAUAACUAGGUUUGUUACUAGUACAUAGCAAACACUUACUUAGUCAAUAACUCAGCCACAUUUCUGUCUCUUUCUUUCUCUCUCUCUCUUUCUUUCUUUCUCUCUUUCUCUCUUUCUUUCUUCUUUUUCUUUCUUUCUUUCAUUGAUUGAACCAAGGGGCACUCUACCACUGAACUACACUGCCAGCCCUUUAAAUUUUCUUUUCUUAUUUUGAGACAGUAUCUCUCUAAGUUGCUGAGGAUGACUGGAACCUGUCAUCCUCCUGCCUCAGCCUUCCCCAGGGUCACUAGGAUUAUAGUUGUGCACCACCAUGCCAGGUCCCAUUUUCUUAUUGUAUUAUUUUCUUUAAGCACAAGUUACAUAUUUCUAUUUUUCAAGAAGUGUUUUGUUGUUGUUGUUUUAGUUUUCUUGGUACUAGGAAUUAACCCAGCUUUGUCACUGAGCUAUAUCCCCAGACCUUUUUAUUUUAUUUUUUAAGACGGAUCUCACUAAGUUGCUGAGACUGGCUUCAAACUUGCAAUCCUCCUGUCUCAGACUUCCAAGUUGCUAAGGGAUUACAGGCCUAUACCAUCAGGGCUGCCCACAAGUGUUAUUUUUAACCUUAAGUGCAGUUGGCUGUAUUUAUUGCAUUAGAUUGUAGCAUAGUUCUCUACUUGGAAUAUAAAUUCAGAAACAUGAUGUGAGGAUGACAAAAGUGUCAAAUUAGAAUUAAGUGUAACGAUUAGGCUUUAUUUAAAAUACUUGUUUCCCUUUUAAAUGUCAAGUUUAUACUGCCUAAUAGCAGUAGAAACCUCAGAAGAUGACUGUGAGCCUUAGGCUAUUUCUUCUUCAUCCAAGUGGAACCCAUAGACUUUUAAGGAUGUAGAUGAGAUGGUCAAAUGUUGUUUUGUGCUUCAUUUUUUAUGAAGCAAUUUUAAACUUUUCAAUGUAGAAAUCCCUAGACCAUAAACUAAAUUCUCCCCCUGAACCUUUAGAGAUAGCAUUUUAAAAAUCCUUGCAACUACUUCAAAUUUUCUUACAUUUCCUCGGGGGACUUAUUUUUUAUUCCAUCAAUGUUGUUUGAGAUACAUUACUGGAAAUUUUAUUCUGAGCUACAAAUACUCAUUUAAAUAAUACUAGGAUAAUCAUCAUAUAAAUGUUCAUUUAUACCUUUGUAUCACUCCCCAGCACUUUCCCCUCCGUCCCCACCACCCAUCCUUUGGUCCCUUUCCUCUGGCGAUCUCCCUUUGAUUUUCAUGAACUCCAUUCCCACUUUUCUUUUCCUUUUUCUCUCUGGUUUCUGCAUAUGAGAGAAAACAUCCAACCCUUAACCUCCUGAGUUAGUUUGACUUAUUUUGCUUAACAUAAUGUUCUCAAGUACCCUCCAUUUUCCUGCAAAGGACAUGAUUUCAUUUUUCUUUAUGGCUAAAUAAAGCUCCAUUGUGUAUCUAUACCACAUUUUCUUUAUCCAUUCACCUGUUGAUGGACACUUAGGCUGGUUCCAUAGUUUGGCCAUUGUGAAUUGUGCUGCUGUAAACAUGGGUAUGCAAGUAUCACUGUAGUAAGAUGACUAUAAUUAUUCAGGAUAAAUAUUGAGAAGUGGGAUAGCUGGAUUAUAUGGCAGUUCCAUGCCUAGUCUUUUGAGGAACCUCCAUACCGAUUUCAAUAAUGGUUGUACUAAAUUACAGUCCUACCAACAGAGUAAAAGUGUUUCUUUUUAUCCACAUUCUCCCCAGCAUUUAUUAUUAUUUGUAUUUUUGAUGACUGCCAUUCUGACUGGUAUGAGAUGAAAUCUCAGUGUAGUUUUGUUUUGUGUUUUCCUAAUUGCUAGAGAUGAACAUUUUUUCAUGUAUUUGUUGGUCAUUUGUAUUUCUUCUUUUGAAAAGUGUCUGUUUAAUUCACUUGUCCAUUCAUUAAUUGGGUUAUUCGAUUUUUAGAAUUAAGUUUUUUGAGUUCUUUAUGUAUUCCAGAUAUUAAUUCUGUCAGAAGAGUAGCUUGCAAAGAUUCUAAUCCCAUUCUGUAGGUUCUCCUCUUCACAUUCCCAAUUGUUUCCUUUGCUGUGCAGAAACUUUUAAUUUGAUGCUGCCUCAUUUAUUUAUUCUUGACAUUAUUUCCUGAGCUUUAGGGCUCCUACUGAGAAAGUCAUUGCCUAUGCCUAUAUGCUGGAGUGUUAACUCCAAGUUACUGUACUUUAAUUUAAAAUUCUUUCAAAGGCAUAUUUACAGUAACAACCAAAACUUAAAAUUGUGAAGGAAUAACUAUACAUACAUGUUUAAUUUAAAAAUUCCUUUAGACUAUUUCUAUAAAUAUCUAAACAACUAACAUUGAUUUAAAUUGCUU